This 447-nucleotide ribosomal RNA is filed under the name uncultured bacterium. RNAcentral's name for it is "bacterial SSU rRNA". It matches the Rfam family "Bacterial small subunit ribosomal RNA", at positions 331 to 795 of the family's 1533-position model. The record is from RNAcentral.
CCAGACUCCUACGGGAGGCAGCAGUGGGGAAUAUUGCACAAUGGGGGAAACCCUGAUGCAGCAACGCCGCGUGAGUGAAGAAGUAUUUCGAUAUGUAAAGCUCUAUCAGCAGGGAAGAAGAUGACGGUACCCGAGUAAGAAGCCCCGGCUAACUACGUGCCAGCAGCCGCGGUAAUACGUAGGGGGCAAGCGUUAUCCGGAUUCACUGGGUGUAAAGGGAGCAUAGACGGCCGUGCAAGCCAGGAGUGAAAGCCCGGGGCCCGACCCCGGGACUGCUCUUGGAACUGUGCGGCUGGAGUGCGGGAGGGGCAGGCGGAAUUCCUGGUGUAGCGGUGAAAUGCGUAGAUAUCAGGAGGAACACCGGCGGCGAAGGCGGCCUGCUGGACCGCGACUGACGUUGAGGCUCGAAAGCGUGGGGAGCGAACAGGAUUAGAUACCCCCGUAGUC